This 253-nucleotide ribosomal RNA is filed under the name uncultured bacterium. Its description in RNAcentral is "partial 16S ribosomal RNA". It matches the Rfam family "Bacterial small subunit ribosomal RNA", at positions 524 to 776 of the family's 1533-position model. The record is from RNAcentral.
UACGUAGGGUGCAAGCGUUGUCCGGAAUUAUUGGGCGUAAAGAGCUUGUAGGCGGUUUGUCGCGUCUGCUGUGAAAAUCCGGGGCUCAACCCCGGACUUGCAGUGGGUACGGGCAGACUAGAGUGUGGUAGGGGAGACUGGAACUCCUGGUGUAGCGGUGAAAUGCGCAGAUAUCAGGAGGAACACCGAUGGCGAAGGCAGGUCUCUGGGCCACUACUGACGCUGAGAAGCGAAAGCAUGGGGAGCGAACAGG